GAUGAAGAACGCAUCAAAAUGCGAUAAGUAAUGUGAAUUGCAGAAUUCAGUGAAUCAUCGAAUCUUUGAACGCACAUUGCGCCCGCCAGUAUUCUGGCGGGCAUGCCUGUUCGAGCGUCAUUUCAACCCUCAAGCACAGCUUGGUGUUGGGACUCGCGUUAAUUCGCGUUCCUCAAAUUGAUUGGCGGUCACGUCGAGCUUCCAUAGCGUAGUAGUAAAACCCUCGUUACUGGUAAUCGUCGCGGCCACGCCGUUAAACCCCAACUUCUGAAUGUUGACCUCGGAUCAGGUAGGAAUACCCGCUGAACUUAAGCAUAUCAAUAAGCGGAGGA
This 332-nucleotide unclassified non-coding RNA is filed under the name soil metagenome. RNAcentral's name for it is "partial contains 5.8S ribosomal RNA, internal transcribed spacer 2, and large subunit ribosomal RNA". The stretch from base 1 to 120 matches the Rfam family "5.8S ribosomal RNA", at positions 35 to 154 of the family's 154-position model. The record is from RNAcentral.